Polistes canadensis is the source of this 933-nucleotide long non-coding RNA. RefSeq lists it as uncharacterized. The record is from RefSeq and is a predicted model, not a curated record. Lineage: Eukaryota; Metazoa; Arthropoda; Insecta; Hymenoptera; Vespidae. The transcript has 2 exons.
UGUUCAAUUAAUUUACUGAAAUAGAGAGCGUAUGAUUUUUUACUACGAUAUGCAGAAUCCAACAACACUGUAAACUUAAAAGAUUUUGGAAGACGCUAAGGAAAGUUUCCCGUUCUCACCUUGGAAAGAAACCAUGUCUUAUAAUAUUCUAUGAAAAGAAUUGAAGAAGGAAUGCAUCCUAGUUUUUACAAAUUUAAAAGACAAAUAGGAAAUCUAUUACAUUAAGAUAUUCCUAACAUAUUUAAGGUAUAUUGCCAAGCAUUGUAUUGGGUAAUUGAGAACACUUUUAAGCAUCAACUGGCAAUAAGUAAUGUAGAGAWAACUAUUCUUUAGAAAUAAGAUAUAUAUUGUAAAAGUAGAAGUGCCAUUGAUAAGUACUAUGGAAAGAAUGUYUUACUUUCACAAGAAUAAAGGAGAAGAAAAAAAUAUUAACAGAAAAUCUUUUUCUAUUGAUCAUAAAAGUUUUUCACAUGCUUUCUAAGAUUUAACUAUAUUUUUGCCAUCAUUUUAAAUAUAAAUCAUUCAAUAUAUUAAAGUGUUUCUUGUACAAUUUCGUAAAAGAAGAAUAGAUUAAAGGAAUAAUCUAGUAGCACAUGAUCUGGGUAGAAAAGAAGAAAUCUGUAUUAUYCUGAAGAAACAUACCACAUUAUUAUACAUUGGGCGGCAUUAAAUAAUAUAAAAUGUAUUUGUUGUUUCAUUCAACGAAUUGAUACAUAAAUUUUCUUUUAAUUAAUAUGUUUGUAUAUUUGAUAAUGGGUGUGAUUUUGUAAGAGAAGAUAUGAAAUGAAUUAUUUAUUUCAUAUAUCUAUAAUUUAAAGCGCAGAGAAGUGUUUUAUUAGCUCAAUAAUGUAACAAAUUUAUUGUAAUUUUAAGGACGAUGUCCUACCACGAUUGUACAUUAAAUAUUACUAAUAAAUAUAUAUUUUCUAAAAA